Molecule: ribosomal RNA, 435 nt
Filed under: uncultured Streptococcus sp.
Lineage: Bacteria; Bacillati; Bacillota; Bacilli; Lactobacillales; Streptococcaceae
Description: bacterial SSU rRNA
Rfam family: Bacterial small subunit ribosomal RNA
Source: RNAcentral
UUCGUAAGCAACGACGAAGAACCUUACCAGGUUCUUGACAUCCCGAUUGCUUAUUUCUAGAGAUAGAAAGUUACUUCGGUACAUCGGUGACAGGUGGUGCAUGGUUGUCGUCAGCUCGUGUCGUGAGAUGUUGGGUUAAGUCCCGCAACGAGCGCAACCCCUAUUGUUAGUUGCCAUCAUUCAGUUGGGCACUCUAGCGAGACUGCCGGUAAUAAACCGAGGAAGGUGGGGAUGACGUCAAAUCAUCAUGCCCCUUAUGACCUGGGCUACACACGUGCUACAAUGGUUGGUACAACGAGUUGCGAGUCGGUGACGGCGAGCUAAUCUCUUAAAGCCAAUCUCAGUUCGGAUUGUAGGCUGCAACUCGCCUACAUGAAGUCGGAAUCGCUAGUAAUCGCGGAUCAGCACGCCGCGGUGAAUACGUUCCCGGGCCUU